RNAcentral lists this ribosomal RNA (497 nucleotides) under uncultured bacterium. Its description in RNAcentral is "partial 16S ribosomal RNA". It matches the Rfam family "Bacterial small subunit ribosomal RNA", at positions 28 to 507 of the family's 1533-position model. The record is from RNAcentral.
GAUGAACGCUGGCGGCGUGCUUAAUACAUGCAAGUCGAGCGAACAGACGAGGAGCUUGCUCCUCUGACGUUAGCGGCGGACGGGUGAGAAACACGUGGAUAACCUACCUAUAAGACUGGGAUAACUUCGGGAAUCCGGAGCUAAUACCGGAUAAUAUAUUGAACCGCAUGGUUCAAUAGUGAAAGACGGUUUUGCUGGCACUUAUAGAUGGAUCCCCGCCGCAUUAGCUAGUUGGUAAGGUAACGGCUUAUCAAGGCAACGAUGCGUAGCCGACCUGAGAGGGUGGUCGGCCGCACUGGAACUGGGACACGGUCCAGGCUCCUGCGGGAGGCAGCAGUAGGGAAUCUUCCGCAGUGGGCGGAAGCUUGACGGAGCGACGCCGCGUGAGUGAUGAAGGUCUUCGGAUCGUAAAGCUCUGUUAUUAGGUGAGAACAACUGUGUAAGUAACUAUGCACGUCUUGACGGUACCUAAUCAGAAAGCCACGGCUAACUACGUG